Symphalangus syndactylus (siamang) is the source of this 1266-nucleotide long non-coding RNA. RefSeq lists it as uncharacterized. The record is from RefSeq and is a predicted model, not a curated record. NCBI's taxonomy places the organism in Eukaryota, Metazoa, Chordata, Mammalia, Primates, Hylobatidae.
CCAGUGGGGCUUCAGCUAGGAAUGUGGGGACGGGGUCUGGCUGGCUUUCCUUUAGAAUUCAAGCCUGAGAUGUGCGGGGAAUGCAGCAAAUGUAACUGUCUUUCUAUCAUUUGAAACCUGAGAUUGGAGUCAAAACUAAGGAAUUGCAGCAGAAAGGAAGAAAUUGGGUCCUCUGGUGACUAUUGAGUCAUGAAUCGAAAUAUGCCUAAAGUGAGAACCCACAACCUUUCCACUCACGUGAGCCAGGAAAUUCUGUUUGGGCUGAGUUUUCUAGUAUUUGCAGCAGAAGAAUCCCUACCUGAUGCAGAAAUUACCCACAUUUUCCAGCUGAGGCAAACAGAGGCCUCAAGAGAUUAGCUAACUUGCCCAAGUUCACACAAAUAACUAAGCCAAAAUUUGAAGCCACUUUGUUUCAUCUUGAAAAGCUGGUGAGGAAGACAAACUGGAUUUUUAACUGACUGCAAUAUGACAAACAUAUGUGAAAAAAGAAAGACACAAUAGGAAGAUAGAGUGAAAGAAGGGCAGAGAGUGAAGGACAGUGUAAUUGAGAAUAAUCGAAAGCGAGCACCUGCAAAGGGAGUGAGGUGAAGUAUCUAGUUCAUAGCAGCCCUCAACAGACAUUCCUACAGUGGAUUGCCAUUAAGCCAUUAUAAAGAACAAGGUCAGUGUUUAUGUGUGGCAUGGAACGUUCUCUAAGGUACAGGAUUAAGUGAAAAGGGCGAGUUACAGAAAGAUAUGUACAGAAUGAGGCAGGGAUUUAGACAUUUAGGUUGAAAACAACAUAAACUGUAUUUUUGUGCAUGAAGCAGGCUCCAUGAUAAAUAGCAGUAGGGAUUUCAGUGUUUGACAAUGGUUAAUAGUGGCCCAAGAGACACCUAGAUAGUAGACAGUGCAGUUAUUUACCAGAAGCAAAAAGAGUGACAGGCACACUGGGGGUGUAAGAAAAUGGCCCCCUUUAUCCAAGAUGCUUAAGAAACUAGAAGAAUGUCCUGCAGAAUAGCAUGGGGGCAAAUCAAAAAGGACUUUGAGGGGAUGUGGCAUGGAAUACAGAUUGAUGAUAACCCUGGCCUGGCCCUUUGCUCUGACUGUUCAAAAGGUUGUCUGCAUCCCACAGAGAGAUGACUCGCGUGGCUUAAAGUCGCCCAGCUAUACCUGUAAUCCCAGCACUUUGGGAGGCCAUGGCAGGCAGAUCACGAGGUCAGGAGUUCAAGACCAGCCUGGGCCAACAUAGUGAAACCCCAUCUCUAUUAAAAAUAUAAAAAAUUA